Non-coding RNA from Termitomyces sp. T32_za158, 83 nucleotides. NCBI's taxonomy places the organism in Eukaryota, Fungi, Basidiomycota, Agaricomycetes, Agaricales, Lyophyllaceae. The record is from the annotation of a GenBank genome assembly.
ACACUGAUGGUGAAGUGGUUAUCAUGCUUGCCUUCCACUUAUGUGUCAAGCAAGCGGCAGGGGUUCGAUUCCCCUUCAGUGUA